AGAGUUUGAUCCUGGCUCAGGAUGAACGCUGGCGGCGUGCUUAAUACAUGCAAGUCGAACGGAGAGUUUUGUAGUAAUACGAAACUUCUCAGUGGCGAACGGGCGAGUAACGAGUUGGUGACCUGCCCCGAAGUGUGGGAUAACAGUCCGAAAGGAUUGCUAAUACCGCAUGUGAUCAUUGGUUUUAGAAUCUGAUGAUUAAAGCAGUAAUGCGCUUCGGGAGGGACCUGCUUCCCGUCAGCUAGUUGGUGAGGUAAUGGCCCACCAAGGCUACGACGGGUAAGGGACCUGAGAGGGUGGUCCCUCGCAAUGGCACUGAAACACGGGCCAUACACCUACGGGUGGCAGCAGUAGGGAAUAUUGGGCAAUGGGCGAAAGCCUGACCCAGCAACGCCGCGUGCACGAUGAAGGCCUUCGGGUCGUAAAGUGCUUUUCUGAGGGAUGAGUAAGGACAGUACCUCAGGAAUAAGCCUCGGCUAACUACGUGCCAGCAGCCGCGGUAAAACGUAGGAGGCAAGCGUUAUCCGGAUUUACUGGGCGUAAAGCGUGUGUAGGCGGUUCGGCAAGUUGGAUGUGAAAGCUCCUGGCUUAACUAGGAGAGGUUGUUCAAUACUACCGAACUUGAGGGCAUCAGAGGAAGGUGGAAUUCCCGGUGUAGUGGUGAAAUGCGUAGAUAUCGGGAGGAACACCAGUGGCAAGGCGGCCUUCUGGGAUGUUCCUGACGCUCAGACACGAAAGCUAGGGUAGCGAACGGGAUUAGAGACCCCGGUAGUCCUAGCAGUAAACGAUGUAGACUUGGUGUCGGAGGUGUCAAAACCUUCGGUAUCGUAGCUAACGCGAUAAGUCUACCGCCUGGGGACUACGGCCGCAAGGUUAAAACUCAAAGGAAUUGACGGGGGCCCGCACAAGCAGCGGAGCGUGUGGUUUAAUUCGAUUUACACGAAGAACCUUACCCAGGUUUGACAUGUUGGUGGUAGGAAUCCGAAAGGUGACCGACCCGCAAGGGAGCCUUCACAGGUGCUGCAUGGCUGUCGUCAGCUCGUGUCGUGAGAUGUUCGGUUAAGUCCGCUAACGAGCGCAACCCUCGCCGUAUGUUACAUGUGUCAUGCGGGACCGUCGGUAUCAAGCCGGAGGAAGGUGGGGAUGACGUCAAGUCAGCAUGGCCUUUAUAUCUGGGGCUACACACACGCUACAAUGGCCGGUACAAUGGGUCGCUAAGCCGCGAGGUAGAGCCAAUCCCUCAAAGCCGGUCUCAGUUCAGAUCACAGGCUGCAACCCGCCUGUGUGAAGUUGGAGUUGCUAGUAAACGCGCGUCAGCUAUAGUGCGUUGAAUACGUUCUCGGGCCUUGUACACACCGCCCGUCACGUCAUGGGAGCUGGUAACACCUGAAGCCGGUAGCCUAACCGCAAGGAGGGCGCUGUCGAAGGUGGUGCUGGUGACUGGGACGAAGUCGUAACAAGGUA
Molecule: ribosomal RNA, 1464 nt
Filed under: metagenome
Description: bacterial SSU rRNA
Rfam family: Bacterial small subunit ribosomal RNA
Source: RNAcentral